UACGUAGGGUGCAAGCGUUAAUCGGAAUUACUGGGCGUAAAGCGUGCGCAGGCGGUUUUGUAAGUCUGUCGUGAAAUCCCCGGGCUCAACCUGGGAAUGGCGAUGGAGACUGCAAGGCUGGAAUCUGGCAGAGGGGGGUAGAAUUCCACGUGUAGCAGUGAAAUGCGUAGAGAUGUGGAGGAACACCGAUGGCGAAGGCAGCCCCCUGGGCUAACACUGACGCUCAUGCACGAAAGCGUGGGGAGCAAACAGG
RNAcentral lists this ribosomal RNA (253 nucleotides) under uncultured bacterium. Its description in RNAcentral is "partial 16S ribosomal RNA". It matches the Rfam family "Bacterial small subunit ribosomal RNA", at positions 524 to 776 of the family's 1533-position model. The record is from RNAcentral.